RNAcentral lists this non-coding RNA (122 nucleotides) under Aquabacterium sp. CECT 9606. RNAcentral describes it as "Bcj11". It matches the Rfam family "Burkholderia RNA 11". From Rfam's summary of the family: Co-purified with Hfq, expression confirmed by Northern blot. Predicted target marZ. Lineage: Bacteria; Pseudomonadati; Pseudomonadota; Betaproteobacteria; Burkholderiales; Sphaerotilaceae. The record is from RNAcentral.
GCAACCUCAAGCUGGCGGGCGAAUACCCCAGCGUGUUCCGCUCGCUGCUGGGCAUCUCGUGGAUGUGGUUCUUUGGCGCGGUCUUUCUGGCGCAGUUCCCUUCCUUUGCGCGUGAUGUGCUG